CAGGAAAUAGUUUAUUUAAAAUAUUAAUUUUGGAGAUUGAUGAAGACUUAUAAUGUUUUUCCUGA
This 65-nucleotide transfer RNA is filed under the name Sorineuchora formosana. RNAcentral's name for it is "tRNA-Pro". The record is from RNAcentral. Lineage: Eukaryota; Metazoa; Arthropoda; Insecta; Blattodea; Pseudophyllodromiidae.